Molecule: ribosomal RNA, 453 nt
Filed under: Actinomyces sp. oral taxon 170
Lineage: Bacteria; Bacillati; Actinomycetota; Actinomycetes; Actinomycetales; Actinomycetaceae
Description: bacterial SSU rRNA
Rfam family: Bacterial small subunit ribosomal RNA
Source: RNAcentral
GACGAACGCUGGCGGCGUGCUUAACACAUGCAAGUCGAACGGUGAAGCACCUUCCUUUUGGUGGGUGUGGAUGAGUGGCGAACGGGUGAGUAACACGUGAGUAACCUGCCCCCUUCUUCUGGAUAACCGCAUGAAAGUGUGGCUAAUACGGGAUAUUCUGCGCCUGCUGCAUGGUGGGUGUGGGAAAGAUGCGCCUUUGGGUGUUUUUGGUGGGGGAUGGGCUCGCGGCCUAUCAGCUUGUUGGUGGGGUGAUGGCCUACCAAGGCGGUGACGGGUAGCCGGCCUGAGAGGGUGGACGGUCACACUGGGACUGAGACACGGCCCAGACUCCUACGGGAGGCAGCAGUGGGGAAUAUUGCACAAUGGGCGCAAGCCUGAUGCAGCGACGCCGCGUGAGGGAUGGAGGCCUUCGGGUUGUAAACCUCUUUCGCCAGUGAAGCAGGCCUGUCCCUG